This is a long non-coding RNA of Thalassophryne amazonica, 234 nucleotides long. RefSeq lists it as uncharacterized. The transcript is spliced from 3 exons. Lineage: Eukaryota; Metazoa; Chordata; Actinopteri; Batrachoidiformes; Batrachoididae. The record is from RefSeq and is a predicted model, not a curated record.
GCAGGUGGAAGGGAAGUAAGGCCAGGAGCAUUGGAGGUGGGUUCAAACAGCUGUAUCAUGGUGUGGAUGGGAGGAGAAAUGCUGUUGGGUUCAUUUCAAAGAAAGAGUAUAUUCAGAGUGUGUUGAAGGUUAAGGAAGUGUCUGACAAGAUGAUGAGUGGAAAAUUGGAAAUUGAAGGGGUGAUGAUGAAUGUCAUCAGUGCAUAUGCCCCACAGUGGUUGAGAGGUGGAGGUG